Electrophorus electricus (electric eel) is the source of this 155-nucleotide long non-coding RNA. RefSeq lists it as uncharacterized. Lineage: Eukaryota; Metazoa; Chordata; Actinopteri; Gymnotiformes; Gymnotidae. The record is from RefSeq and is a predicted model, not a curated record.
CGAAUGUUUAAUCAAAUAUGUACGAACCUACAUUACCGCUGCGGUGCGGAGGUCUUCAUGCGCCCCGGUCAAAUGGACAUGGGGGCUUUCAUCACAUGCCUUCCUACCAGCACUGGGAGAUCUGAAACACUGACGGGACGACUAAGCAGGGAUGA